Molecule: ribosomal RNA, 253 nt
Filed under: uncultured bacterium
Lineage: Bacteria
Description: partial 16S ribosomal RNA
Rfam family: Bacterial small subunit ribosomal RNA
Source: RNAcentral
UACGUAGGGGGCAAGCGUUGUCCGGAAUUAUUGGGCGUAAAGAGCGCGUAGGCGGCCAGAUAAGUCCGGUGUGAAAGUCAAAGGCUCAACCUUUGAAUGCCGCUGGAAACUGUCUGGCUAGAGUCCGGGAUGGGCGAGUGGAAUUCCCGGUGUAGCGGUGAAAUGCGCAGAUAUCGGGAGGAACACCAAUGGCGAAGGCAGCUCGCUGGGACGGUACUGACGCUGAGGCGCGAAAGCGUGGGGAGCAAACAGG